RNAcentral lists this transfer RNA (71 nucleotides) under Megachasma pelagios. Its description in RNAcentral is "tRNA-Trp". It matches the Rfam family "tRNA". From Rfam's summary of the family: Transfer RNA (tRNA) molecules are approximately 80 nucleotides in length. Their secondary structure includes four short double-helical elements and three loops (D, anti-codon, and T loops). Further hydrogen bonds mediate the characteristic L-shaped molecular structure. tRNAs have two regions of fundamental functional importance: the anti-codon, which is responsible for specific mRNA codon recognition, and the 3' end, to which the tRNAs corresponding amino acid is attached (by aminoacyl-tRNA synthetases). tRNAs cope with the degeneracy of the genetic code in two manners: having more than one tRNA (with a specific anti-codon) for a particular amino acid; and 'wobble' base-pairing, i.e. permitting non-standard base-pairing at the 3rd anti-codon position. Lineage: Eukaryota; Metazoa; Chordata; Chondrichthyes; Lamniformes; Megachasmidae. The record is from RNAcentral.
AGAAAUUUAGGUUAAUAGUAAACCAAAAACCUUCAAAGUUUUAAAUAGAAGUGAAAAUCUCCUAAUUUCUG